RNAcentral lists this ribosomal RNA (279 nucleotides) under Klebsiella pneumoniae. RNAcentral describes it as "partial 16S ribosomal RNA". It matches the Rfam family "Bacterial small subunit ribosomal RNA", at positions 1265 to 1533 of the family's 1533-position model. The record is from RNAcentral. Lineage: Bacteria; Pseudomonadati; Pseudomonadota; Gammaproteobacteria; Enterobacterales; Enterobacteriaceae.
AAGCGGACCUCAUAAAGUAUGUCGUAGUCCGGAUUUGAGUCUGCAACUCGACUCCAUGAAGUCGGAAUCGCUAGUAAUCGUAGAUCAGAAUGCUACGGUGAAUACGUUCCCGGGCCUUGUACACACCGCCCGUCACACCAUGGGAGUGGGUUGCAAAAGAAGUAGGUAGCUUAACCUUCGGGAGGGCGCUUACCACUUUGUGAUUCAUGACUGGGGUGAAGUCGUAACAAGGUAACCGUAGGGGAACCUGCGGUUGGAUCACCUCCUUACCUUAAAGAA